GGCUACGAUCAUACUAGUUCUAAGACAUCAGAUCCCAUUAGAACUCCGCAAUUAAGCAUGCUGAGGAGAGAGUAGUACAAGGAUGGAUGACCUCUUUGGAAGUUCUCGUGUUGCAUCCC
This is a non-coding RNA of Beta vulgaris subsp. vulgaris (sugar beet), 119 nucleotides long. The record is from Rfam. NCBI's taxonomy places the organism in Eukaryota, Viridiplantae, Streptophyta, Magnoliopsida, Caryophyllales, Amaranthaceae.